AUUGAACGCUGGCGGCAGGCCUAACACAUGCAAGUCGAGCGAGCGGCGGACGGGUGUGGAAUGUAUGGGGAAUGCGCGAUAGCGGGGGAUAACUAAUGGAAACGGUAGCUAAUACAGAAUACUAUCGGAUAGCACAUAGGGGAUUGGCUAGUAGGUGAGGUAAAGGCUCACCUAGACGACGCUCCCUAGCUGGUAUGAGAGGAUGAUCAGCCACACUGGGACUGAGACACGGCCCAGACUCCUACGGAGGCAGCAGUGGGGAAUAUUGCACAAUGGGCGCAAGCCUGAUGCAGCCAUGCCGCGUGUAUGAAGAAGGCCCUAGGGUUGUAAAGUACUUUCAGUCGGGAGGCGUUACCGACAGAAGAAGCACCGGCUAACUCCGUGCCAGCAGCCGCGGUAAUUC
RNAcentral lists this ribosomal RNA (403 nucleotides) under uncultured bacterium. RNAcentral describes it as "partial 16S ribosomal RNA". It matches the Rfam family "Bacterial small subunit ribosomal RNA", at positions 30 to 526 of the family's 1533-position model. The record is from RNAcentral.